GAAGCUGUCCCUGAAGUGACAGUGGAGAGAACCGGGCAGCCCAGAACCCCCAGGCAUGGAGAUUGAUCCUGCAAGAGAAGGGAGUUCAUCAUGGCGGAUGACCUAAAGCGAUUCAUGUAUAAAAUUGUUGUGUCAGAGUUGGAGUACCUAUUUUAAAGUGGCCAAUGAUAAUGCUCCAGAGCGUGCUUUGAGACCUGGUUUUUCAUCUACUUUUGCCCUUGCAACAGACCAAAGGAGCAAACUUGGACUUUCAAAAAAUAAAAGUAUCAUCUGUUACUGUUACACCUACCAGGUGAUUCAAUUAAAUCAUUACCUUUGGUAGUGAGUUUCAUAGCCAGCAGCAAUGCCAAUACAGGACUAAUUGUCAGCCUAGAAAAGAAACUUACUCCAUUCUUUGAAGAAUUGAGACAAGUUGUGGAAGUUUCUUAAUCGGACAGUGGUUUCAAUGUGUACCUUAUCUUUAUUAUAACAACACAAUAUCGAUCCAGCAAUCU
Rhinopithecus roxellana (golden snub-nosed monkey) is the source of this 494-nucleotide RNA transcript. It is a transcript of the gene named ragulator complex protein LAMTOR3 pseudogene, with no coding region annotated. The transcript has a single exon. The record is from RefSeq and is a predicted model, not a curated record. NCBI's taxonomy places the organism in Eukaryota, Metazoa, Chordata, Mammalia, Primates, Cercopithecidae.